Molecule: ribosomal RNA, 313 nt
Filed under: uncultured eukaryote
Lineage: Eukaryota
Description: partial 18S ribosomal RNA
Rfam family: Eukaryotic small subunit ribosomal RNA
Source: RNAcentral
CCCUUAGAUGUUCUGGGCCGCACACGCGCUACAAUGGCAAAGUCAACGAGCUUAUCCUAUGCUGACAAGCACAGGUAAUCUUUUCAGUCUUUGUCGUGAUGGGGAUAGACCCUUGUAAUUAUUGGUCUCCAACGAGGAAUUCCUAGUAAACGCAAGUCAUCAACUUGCAUUGAUUACGUCCCUGCCCUUUGUACGCACCGCCCGUCGCACCUACCGAUUGAAUGGUCCGGUGAAGUCUUCGGACCGAUGCUGACUCGUUGGCAACGGAAAGUUGAGUAAACCUUACCAUUUAGAGGAAGGUGAAGUCGUAACA